CACCUAUGAUGCAAUUAUUAAGUCAGACGAGUCUAUAUUGGCGAUCUAUUCGAGUUCUUCGAAAAAAUUGCCGCAAGCGGGGUGAAAUUGAGGCAUUUGUCUGAGGUGA
RNAcentral lists this small RNA (109 nucleotides) under Caenorhabditis brenneri. RNAcentral's name for it is "sRNA CBN34033". Lineage: Eukaryota; Metazoa; Nematoda; Chromadorea; Rhabditida; Rhabditidae. The record is from RNAcentral.